AGAGAGAGACAUGCGCGCAUAUCAAUAAGCGGAGGAAAAGAAACUAACAAGGAUUCCCUUAGUAACGGCGAGUGAAGCGGGAAGAGCUCAAAUUUGAAAUCUUCAAGGUUUUACCUUGACGAAUUGUAGUUUAAAGAAGUGUUUUCUGCUGAAGUUUUGGUAAAAGUUCUUUGGAAUAGGACAUCAUAGAGGGUGAGAAUCCCGUAUUUGACCAUUAUUUUCAGCUUUGUGAUACACUUUCAAAGAGUCGGAUUGUUUGGGAAUGCAGUCCAAAAUGGGUGGUAAAUUUCAUCUAAAGCUAAAUAUUGGCGAGAGACCGAUAGCGAACAAGUACCGUGAGGGAAAGAUGAAAAGAACUUUGAAAAGAGAGUUAAACAGUACGUGAAAUUGUCAAAAGGGAAGCGUUUGACACCAGUGUUGUUUUCUCGAAAAUCAAUUAAAAAUGGCUCGAUUUUGUAUUGCUUGAGACCUUAAAAGCUCACUGUACAUUUUUCGUGUCUUUUUUAAUGCACUUUUCGUUUAACAAGUCAACAUCAGUUUCUUUUGUUGUAAAAGGGUCAUUGGAAGGUGGCUUUCUUUUCGGAGAAAGUGUUUAUAGCCUUUGGCCUCUGCAAUCGAAGAGACUGAGGUCUGCAGCGUAGACUCUUCGGGGUUAGAUACAUUUGUGCUAAGUUAUAGCUUUUUAUAGACAACUUGUUGACUAUAAUUAGUCUUGUAGCUUACUCGCUUAUGCUAUUUUACCUACGCUUAGGAUGUUGAAGAUGUAGCACAUCA
Molecule: ribosomal RNA, 774 nt
Filed under: uncultured Neocallimastigales
Lineage: Eukaryota; Fungi; Neocallimastigomycota; Neocallimastigomycetes; Neocallimastigales
Description: partial large subunit ribosomal RNA
Rfam family: Eukaryotic large subunit ribosomal RNA
Source: RNAcentral